ACGCUCGACACCUACGGGGGGCAGCAGUGAGGAAUAUUGGUCAAUGGGCGCAGGCCUGAACCAGCCAAGUAGCGUGAAGGAUGACUGCCCUAUGGGUUGUAAACUUCUUUUAUAUGGGAAUAAAGUUUUCCACGUGUGGAAUUUUGUAUGUACCAUAUGAAUAAGGAUCGGCUAACUCCGUGCCCGCAGCCGCGUAUCUGAGCGGGCUGGCAAGGC
This 216-nucleotide ribosomal RNA is filed under the name uncultured bacterium. RNAcentral's name for it is "partial 16S ribosomal RNA". It matches the Rfam family "Bacterial small subunit ribosomal RNA", at positions 328 to 539 of the family's 1533-position model. The record is from RNAcentral.